RNAcentral lists this ribosomal RNA (497 nucleotides) under uncultured soil bacterium. RNAcentral describes it as "bacterial SSU rRNA". It matches the Rfam family "Bacterial small subunit ribosomal RNA", at positions 26 to 524 of the family's 1533-position model. The record is from RNAcentral.
AGAUUGAACGCUGGCGGCAUGCCUUACACAUGCAAGUCGAACGGUAACAGGGAGCUUGCUCCGCUGACGAGUGGCGAACGGGUGAGUAAUACAUCGGAACGUGCCCAGUAAUGGGGGAUAGCUCGGCGAAAGCCGGAUUAAUACCGCAUACGCCCUGAGGGGGAAAGUGGGGGAUCGCAAGACCUCACGUUAUUGGAGCGGCCGAUGGCUGAUUAGCUAGUUGGUAGGUAAAGGCCUACCAAGGCGACGAUCAGUAGCUGGUCUGAGAGGACGAUCAGCCACACUGGGACUGAGACACGGUCCAGACUCCUACGGGAGGCAGCAGUGGGGAAUUUUGGACAAUGGGCGCAAGCCUGAUCCAGCCAUGCCGCGUGAGUGAAGAAGGCCUUCGGUGUAAGCUCUUUCAGCCGGAAAGAAACGCACGGUUAAUACCCUGUGUGGAUGACGUACCGGAAGAAGAAGCACCGGCUAACUACGUAGCCGAGCAGCCGCGUAAC